GACGAACGCUGGCGGCGUGCUUAACACAUGCAAGUCGAACGGAAAGGCCCUGCUUUUGUGGGGUGCUCGAGUGGCGAACGGGUGAGUAACACGUGAGUAACCUGCCCUUGACUUUGGGAUAACUUCAGGAAACUGGGGCUAAUACCGGAUAAGAGCUCCUGCUGCAUGGUGGGGGUUGGAAAGUUUCGGCGGUUGGGGAUGGACUCGCGGCUUAUCAGCUUGUUGGUGGGGUAGUGGCUUACCAAGGCUUUGACGGGUAGCCGGCCUGAGAGGGUGACCGGCCACAUUGGGACUGAGAUACGGCCCAGACUCCAACGGGAGGCAGCAGUGGGGAAUAUUGCACAAUGGGCGGAAGCCUGAUGCAGCAACGCCGCGUGCGGGAUGACGGCCUUCGGGUUGUAAACCGCUUUCGCCUGUGACGAAGCGUGAGUGACGGUAAUGGGUAAAGAAGCACCGGCUAACUACGUG
Molecule: ribosomal RNA, 468 nt
Filed under: uncultured bacterium
Lineage: Bacteria
Description: partial 16S ribosomal RNA
Rfam family: Bacterial small subunit ribosomal RNA
Source: RNAcentral